This 468-nucleotide ribosomal RNA is filed under the name uncultured bacterium. Its description in RNAcentral is "partial 16S ribosomal RNA". It matches the Rfam family "Bacterial small subunit ribosomal RNA", at positions 28 to 507 of the family's 1533-position model. The record is from RNAcentral.
GACGAACGCUGGCGGCGUGCUUAACACAUGCAAGCCGAACGGAAAGGCCCUGCUUUUGUGGGGUGCUCGAGUGGCGAACGGGUGAGUAACACGUGAGUAACCUGCCCUUGACUUUGGGAUAACUUCAGGAAACUGGGGCUAAUACCGGAUAGGAGCUCCUGCUGCAUGGUGGGGGUUGGAAAGUUUCGGCGGUUGGGGAUGGACUCGCGGCUUAUCAGCUUGUUGGUGGGGUAGUGGCUUACCAAGGCUUUGACGGGUAGCCGGCCUGGGAGGGUGACCGGCCACAUUGGGACUGAGAUACGGCCCAGACGCCUACGGGAGGCAGCAGUGGGGAACACUGCACAAUGGGCGGAAGCGUGAUGCAGCAACGCCGCGUGCGGGAUGACGGCCUACGGGUGGUAAACCGCUGUCGCCUGUGACGAAGCGGGAGUGACGGUAAUGGGUAAAGAAGCACCGGCUAACUACGUG